Chinchilla lanigera (long-tailed chinchilla) is the source of this 2960-nucleotide RNA transcript. It is a transcript of the gene named ring finger protein 34, E3 ubiquitin protein ligase, with no coding region annotated. NCBI's taxonomy places the organism in Eukaryota, Metazoa, Chordata, Mammalia, Rodentia, Chinchillidae. The transcript is spliced from 8 exons. The record is from RefSeq and is a predicted model, not a curated record.
UUUCAUUGGUUCUGCUACCCGGGCCCCGACUGCCGGCUCCAGAUUGGUCGGCUCUGCUGCCGCUCGGCCUUCUUCCGGGGGCGCGCGGCGAGCGUGACCACGCCUCUGACGUCCGGACGCUCGGUGGCCUCGGGAGGCGCCGUAGUCGCCGCGGAGAAGGAAGGAGGGCGGCUGUUGAAGAGCUGCUAUGGUGCUGAGUCUCCGGGCAGAGCCGACCGAGUGGAGGCGGUCGCGGCCAUGAAGGCGGGCGCCACGUCCAUGUGGGCUUCGUGCUGCGGGCUGCUGAAUGAAGUCAUGGGCACCGGAGCCGUCAGGGGCCAGCAGGCAGGGUUCCCGGGAGGCGCCGGGCCGUUCUCGUUCACAGCAAGCUCAGACUUUUCUGCGUACCCACCAGCACCCACAGAAGGGCCUAAUAUAGUCUGCAAAGCCUGUGGCCUCUCAUUUUCAGUCUUUAGAAAGAAGCAUGUGUGCUGUGACUGCAAGAAGGAUUUCUGCUCCGUGUGCUCGGUCUUCCAAGAAAACCUCCGCCGCUGCUCCACCUGCCACCUGCUCCAGGAGACGGCCUUUCAGCGGCCGCAGCUGAUGCGCCUGAAGGUGAAGGACCUGCGGCAGUACCUCACGCUGCGGAACAUCCCCACCGACACCUGCCGCGAGAAGGCGGACCUGGUGGACCUGGUGCUGUGCCAUCACGGACUGGGCUCUGAGGACGACCUGGACACCAGCAGCCUGCACUCUUCCCGCUCCCGGGCAUCCAGCUUUUUUACAGAGUCCCUGUUUGCCCGCUACACAGCCUCCUCAGCCGCCGAGGCCUCCUUCCCGGGGGAGCUCGCAGGCCGGGGCUGCGCCUCCGGGCCCGGAACCCUGGCGCAGGCACACAGUGAAGCGGCUUCCGCAGACAUGGAGGAUGACGAGGAGGAGGAGGAGGAGGAUGAGGAGGAGGAGGAUGAGGAUGAUGAUGAAGAGAACUUGGAGGAGGAGACCCUUGGGCUCUCCAGGAAGCGGGGCAGAGCCUCCCUGUCCGACCUGUCCAGCCUGGAGGAGGUGGAGGGCAUGAGCGUGCGCCAGCUCAAGGAGGUCCUGGCACGGAACUUCGUCAGCUACUCAGGCUGCUGCGAGAAGUGGGAGCUGGUGGAGAAGGUCAGCCGGCUGUACAAGGAGAACGAGGAGAACCAGAAGUCAUACGGCGAGCGGCUGCAGCUGCAGGACGAGGAGGACGACAGCCUGUGCCGCAUCUGCAUGGAUGCCGUCAUCGACUGUGUCCUGCUCGAGUGUGGACACAUGGUCACCUGCACCAAGUGCGGCAAGCGCAUGAGCGAGUGUCCCAUCUGCCGGCAGUACGUGGUGCGAGCCGUGCACGUGUUCAAGUCCUGAGGCCGCGCUGCCCAGCUGGAUCCCAGACAUUUCGAUGCACAGAGCGACUGGAAACUUACUGUUGAAAGGCAGAAGCUAUUUUUUAAAAUUAUUUUCACUACUAAUGGGGACGGACAGGUUCAUCUAAGUUGAAGACACGCUGGUCCAUGCCAUCAACCUGUAGCCCGAAUUCUACGGGGCUUGUCACUUGUUCCCGGGAGCAGUGACUGCCGAAGUCGGACUGGCGACAGCGUGGGGCGUCCUGGCAUCUGACCCUUCUGCGUGGACACGUCUGUUGACACCGGGUGGGGCGAGCUCACUGUCACAGCAGCCGAUGGGGCACGCAGCACACGGUGGACCUCUGACAUUCCCUUUGUCAGUUACGUGUAUUUUAAAUGCGAACACCUGAUGAAUGUAAUCAAGUUUCCACAUCGUUGCUGUUUCUGCAUUUCAGCCUAAUCAGGAACGGACGUUCUGUAGUCAACUGCCAGGGCCUUAGACUAACAUGUCCAUUUCUGUUCAGAAACACGUACUCUACCAUAAACGGAAGGUGGGCGCGACUCCGCAGCUGAGCCUUGGGAAAGCCAAAACCCAUCUGUGCAUUCACCCACUUGGCGGGCGAACAGCAAGGUAUGUCAGGAGAGCCAAAGCAGCAGUAGGUGAGUUUUACCCAUGAAAUGCACACUGCUAAAUUUCUGGGCAUUUAUGAUGUGUUUAAAAAAGUUUUCUUUUGAUUUUUUUUGGUAGAAGUAGCCCAUUUCAGUACAAUGGUACACAGAUUUGCAAAUUUUGGAGGUCCAAAGCGAAGCCUCAGAUCAUUCACACGUGAAUGAUGAACAUAGUCACUUUCACCAGGCAAGCCACAGUUCCUCUGACAGUGCAAUGGAGCAAGAAGCAAGUGAUGCAGACACGGGAUGGAGGUCUCCUCGAUUCACAUGACGAAACAGCAAUGUGAUGCCGACUCUCUGGCUUCCGCCUUGGACCCUUCAGCCUUCUGUCACAGACCCAUCAUCAGCGUCCUGAUACAGACUUGCAAGGGGCACUGAAGUGAACUCCAGACCUCGGACUGAAUCCUUUGGCCUCCGGUGUGCAGACACCCUCUGCACGCUUCCUGAUCCAACUCUAUGGCUGAUCAUUGUAAGCCAACCUUGUAAUUUCUUAUACAUUUAUAUGUCUUGUAUCUGUUUCUCUAGUAAAACCCUGAGUGAUACAACCACAUUUGAGAUUUAGUUCCUUCAAAACUGACUGAGGUAGCCAGCGUGGUGGUACAUGCCUGUAAUCCCAGCACUGGGGAGGCUGAGACAGGAUGAUCACUGCAAGACCAGCCCAAACUGCACAGCAAGUUACUGUCUCAACAACAACAAAAAACCUGAGGUUUGAUGAUUAAAAACGUCUGCCAAGAAAGAAAAAGUUGAUGAUCUGGUUGCUAUUUGCUUAUGAUUUGAGAGAUCUGUGGGUAAUUAUGAAGCAAUUUACAUCUCAGUACAUGACUAUUGAACAUCUUGCGGCAUUGCAUGGUUGCUGUAGCUUUAGGCAGUAUAUUCCCCCACACUUUCAAAAUAGAGCGUAAAAAUGUAUGCCCUUGUAGAUGAGAAGACUUUUUUUUUUUA